AGAUUGAACGCUGGCGGAAUGCUUUACACAUGCAAGUCGAACGGCAGCACGGGGGCAACCCUGGUGGCGAGUGGCGAACGGGUGAGUAAUACAUCGGGACGUGCCCAGUCGUGGGGGAUAACUACGCGAAAGCGUAGCUAAUACCGCAUACGAACUCUGGUUGAAAGCGGGGGACUCGCAAGAGCCUCGCGCGAUUGGAGCGGCCGAUGGCAGAUUAGGUAGUUGGUGGGGUAAAGGCUCACCAAGCCGACGAUCUGUAGCUGGUCUGAGAGGACGACCAGCCACACUGGGACUGAGACACGGCCCAGACUCCUACGGGAGGCAGCAGUGGGAAUUUUGGACAAUGGACGCAAGUCUGAUCCAGCCAUUCCGCGUGCAGGAUGAAGGCCCUCGGGUUGUAAACUGCUUUUUGUACGGAACGAAACGCGCUGAGUUAAUACCUCGGCGUAAUGACGGUACCGUAAGAAUAAGCACCGGCUAACUACGUGCCAGCAAGCCG
RNAcentral lists this ribosomal RNA (499 nucleotides) under uncultured soil bacterium. Its description in RNAcentral is "bacterial SSU rRNA". It matches the Rfam family "Bacterial small subunit ribosomal RNA", at positions 26 to 517 of the family's 1533-position model. The record is from RNAcentral.